ACACCCACCUCCGGCGAAACCAGUCCGGCGACGCGAGAAAGAAGACGCGCGCGUGGGCAGCGCGUAGACUGGGCGCGUGGUGGCGCGUGGGACCUCCAAAUUGAGUUCUGAAAAUUGUCACGCGUUCGUGACGUCGUGUAGAUCACCGUGGUGAAAAUUAUACAGAAGAAGAAUGUAACCAAUCUAGAGGAGGCUCAGGGACCUACGUGACGUCGAUGUGAUCUGUUUAAGAUAUCAGAGCUUGGUGGCUACGAGGAAUCCAACGGUGUUCUGACAGAAUGGACAAAAAUUAGGACUCACUUUUGGGUGUUUCAUCUUAGAAAUUGUAUCUUUAAAGCUUCCGUACUGUGUAAAUGGUUACGUCACUCUCACGUGACGGCCAGCAUGCCCUCCUUCGGGACGGGGUGUGUC
Pyrus x bretschneideri (Chinese white pear) is the source of this 411-nucleotide long non-coding RNA. RefSeq lists it as uncharacterized. The transcript has 3 exons. Lineage: Eukaryota; Viridiplantae; Streptophyta; Magnoliopsida; Rosales; Rosaceae. The record is from RefSeq and is a predicted model, not a curated record.